This 1184-nucleotide long non-coding RNA is filed under the name Heterocephalus glaber (naked mole-rat). Its description in RNAcentral is "lncRNA (ENSHGLG00100050824.1)". The record is from RNAcentral. Lineage: Eukaryota; Metazoa; Chordata; Mammalia; Rodentia; Bathyergidae.
CCAGUCCGUUCCCGCGAAGGGCCGCGUCUGAGCCGCUGGGAGCCGAGGACCACGGAGACGCGGCGGGACCGAGCACCCGCCCACACCGAGGGCCGGGAGCGCACGGACCGCGGCGCCCAAGCGGUUAAUAAGGAACUUAGUGACGUGGGCCGCGAGCCGCCAGCACGGUGUUCUGCAGGCCCAGCUGGGGAUGCCACGGGAAUGGGACCUGAUGACAGUCCCUAUCAAGUCUAGCUCUGUAGGUCAGGCUGGCCUUGAACUCAGAACUCAUGCCAUUGUCCUGCCUCUGCCUCCUGAGCACUGGGAUGACAGGGUGCACCACUCUGCCUGGGAUCAAACUCGGGUCCUUGCGCUUUUGAGGCAGGCAGCAGAACCACUGAGCUAAAUCCCCAGCCUUCUCCGAUUUAUUGAAAUAGAUCGAACUCGGGGACCCUGCACUUGCAAGGCAGGCUGUGGAACUACUGAGCUAACUCCCCAGCCCAAAAGGAUGACUUCUAACAAAAUGACUGGGUUAGAGGCUUUGAGAUGUUGGCCAUCACCUAAGAGAACAGGUAAGAUUGAAGUUGAUAGAGACUGAAGGUAAACUUAGCCCAAGAGCUGCUCCUUCUACCUCCUUGCUGCUCAGAGGUGGCUGGGGGCACAUGGACUCUGAGUCCCUAGUCUCUUCCCCUCCAAUUCAGGGUCAGAUAAGACCAACAACCACUGGUGCACACCUAUUAUCCCACCACUCAGGGAGGCUGAAUCAGGAGGAUUGCAAGUUGGACCCCAGUAUGGGCAACUUAGAGAGACCUUGUCUCAAAAUUUUAAAAGAGGCUGGGGACAGAACUCAGUGUAAAGGCCCUGGGUUCCAUACCAGCAAGGAAAAACGAAAACCAAAACAACACAAAAGUAAAUGCAGAGGCCGAGGACUUAGCUCAGUGGUUUUGUCACCUGCUGCGCAAGUGCAGGGACCCAAGUUUGAUCCCUGAUACAAAAAAAAAAGUAAAUGCAGGGGCCGGGGAUUUAGCUCAGUGGUACCAGUGCCUGCCUGGUACAAGGUCCUGAGUUUGAUCGCUUGUACAGAAAAAAAAAAAAGUAGGCAUUGCUGAUUGCAGGAGAAUUGUAAAAAUCAAGAUGGAGAAGGGGCCAGGGAUUUAGCUCAGAGGUUUUGCCGCCUGCUGUGCAAGCUCAAGGACCCGAGUCCC